CCUACGGGGUGCAGCAGUGGGGAAUUUUCCGCAAUGGGCGAAAGCCUGACGGAGCAAUGCCGCGUGGAGGUAGAAGGCCCACGGGUCGUGAACUUCUUUUCCUGGAGAAGAAGCAAUGACGGUAUCUGGGGAACAAGCAUCGGCUAUCUCUGUGCCAGCAGCCGCGGUAAUACAGAGGAUGCAAGCGUUAUCCGGAAUGAUUGGGCGUAAAGCGUCUGUAGGUGGCUUUUUAAGUCCGCCGUCAAAUCCCAGGGCUCAACCCUGGACAGGCGGUGGAGACUACCAAGCUGGAGUACGGUAGGGGCAGAGGGAAUUUCCGGUGGAGCGGUGAAAUGCGUAGAGAUCGGAAAGAACGCCAACGGCGAAAGCACUCUGCUGGGCCGACACUGACACUGAGAGUCGAAAGCUAGGGGAGCGAAUGGGAUUAGAUACCCCUGUAGUC
This 442-nucleotide ribosomal RNA is filed under the name uncultured bacterium. RNAcentral describes it as "bacterial SSU rRNA". It matches the Rfam family "Bacterial small subunit ribosomal RNA", at positions 338 to 795 of the family's 1533-position model. The record is from RNAcentral.